AUCAUUUCUUGGCCUUUUGGCUAAGAUCAAGUGUAGUAUCUGUUCUUAUCAGUUUAAAAAAUAAUAUGUAGUAAUAUAUCUU
RNAcentral lists this small nuclear RNA (82 nucleotides) under Sorex araneus (European shrew). RNAcentral's name for it is "U2 spliceosomal RNA (ENSSARG00000015966.1)". It matches the Rfam family "U2 spliceosomal RNA", at positions 1 to 84 of the family's 192-position model. Rfam says of the family: U2 is a small nuclear RNA (snRNA) component of the spliceosome (involved in pre-mRNA splicing). Lineage: Eukaryota; Metazoa; Chordata; Mammalia; Eulipotyphla; Soricidae. The record is from RNAcentral.